RNAcentral lists this ribosomal RNA (496 nucleotides) under uncultured bacterium. RNAcentral's name for it is "partial 16S ribosomal RNA". It matches the Rfam family "Bacterial small subunit ribosomal RNA", at positions 28 to 506 of the family's 1533-position model. The record is from RNAcentral.
GAUGAACGCUGGCGGCGUGCCUAAUACAUGCAAGUCGAGCGAACGGACGAGAAGCUUGCUUCUCUGAUGUUAGCGGCGGACGGGUGAGUAACACGUGGAUAACCUACCUAUAAGACUGGGAUAACUUCGGUAAACCGGAGCUAAUACCGGUUAAUAUUUUGAACCGCAUGGUUCCAAAGUGAAACACGGUCUUGCUUUCACUUAUCGAUGGAUCCGCCCUGCAUUAGCAAGUUGUUAAGGUAACAGCUUACCAAGACAACGAUGCAUAGCCGACCUGAGAGGGCGAUCGGCCAAACGGGAAAUGAGAAACGGUCCAGAAGCAUGCGGGAGGCAGCAGGAGGGAAUCUUCAGGAAUGGGCGAAAGCCUGACGGAGCAACGCCGCGUGAGUGAUGAAGGACUUCGGAUCGUAAAACGCUGUUAUUAGGGAAGAACAGAUGUGUACGUAACUGUGCACAUCUGGACGGUACCUAAUCAGAAAGCCACGGCUAACUACGA